Molecule: ribosomal RNA, 474 nt
Filed under: uncultured prokaryote
Description: bacterial SSU rRNA
Rfam family: Bacterial small subunit ribosomal RNA
Source: RNAcentral
GAAGAACGGCCGUGUGGUUAAUACCCAUGCGGAUUGACGGUACCUGCAGAGGAAGCACCGGCUAACUCCGUGCCAGCAGCCGCGGUAAUACGGAGGGUGCGAGCGUUAAUCGGAAUUACUGGGCGUAAAGGGCGCGUAGGCGGCCGAUCAAGUCAGAUGUGAAAGCCCACGGCUUAACCGUGUGAAGUGCAUCUGAAACUGGUCGGCUUGAGUAUCGGAGAGGAAAGUGGAAUUCCCGGUGUAGAGGUGAAAUUCGUAGAUAUCGGGAGGAAUACCGGUGGCGAAGGCGACUUUCUGGACGAAUACUGACGCUGAGGCGCGAAAGCGUGGGGAGCAAACAGGAUUAGAUACCCUGGUAGUCCACAGCUGUAAACGAUGUGCACUAGAUGUGGGGAAGUGUUGACCUUUCCUGUGUCGCAGCUAACGCAUUAAGUGCACCGCCUGGGGAGUACGGCCGCAAGGUUAAAACUCAAA